Molecule: ribosomal RNA, 386 nt
Filed under: uncultured bacterium
Lineage: Bacteria
Description: bacterial SSU rRNA
Rfam family: Bacterial small subunit ribosomal RNA
Source: RNAcentral
GACGAACGCUGGCGGCGUGCUUAACACAUGCAAGUCGAGCGGUAAGGCCCUUUCGGGGGUACGACGAGCGGCGAACGGGUGAGUAACACGUGGGUGACCUGCCCUCAGCUCUGGGAUAAGCCUGGGAAACCGGGUCUAAUACUGGAUAUGACUCCAUGACGCAUGUUGUGGGGUGGAAAGCCUUGUGCGGCUGAGGAUGGGCCCGCGGCCUAUCAGCUUGUUGGUGGGGUGANGGCCUACCAAGGCGACGACGGGUAGCCGGCCUGAGAGGGCGACCGGCCGACACUGGGACGUGAGACACGGCCCACGACUCCUACGGGAGGGCGAGCAGUGGGGAAGUCUUGCGCAAUGGGCGAAAGCCUGACGCAGCGACGCCGCGUGAGGGA